Long non-coding RNA from Peromyscus eremicus (cactus mouse), 868 nucleotides. RefSeq lists it as uncharacterized. The transcript is spliced from 3 exons. Lineage: Eukaryota; Metazoa; Chordata; Mammalia; Rodentia; Cricetidae. The record is from RefSeq and is a predicted model, not a curated record.
GUAAAGCAGGUGCCAUCGUUAUCAGAUUAGCUGGGUCUGCUUGGAAGGGUCUGUCGCAAUCUGGCUGGUUGACUCCUGUUAUUCUCUCAUAGGAGGAGGAGGUAGGAUGGCUCACUGGACCAUCAUCUCAGAAUCCAGUUGUUCCUCCAGCCAUGCGUAUGCAAUUCUGCCCUACCUGUGUGGGUCUUAGAAGAUGCUACACUAUGUAGGCUAGGGGAAGACACCUCAGGGGGCUCUGUCGAUGCAGCCAUGGAAAAGCCAUCAACCAUGCUGGGUGAAGAUUUUCCAGUGUGGCAGCUGUGAGGUCACCUGAACUUCAGCAGGCCUGUGUCAAGGCGACAAAACCAGCCAGAGCACCGUAUGCUUUGUUGAGAACCACCAUCAGGAACUAACUUAUCAGGACGUCUAAUGAGCAUGCAGAAGUAAGUGCUCUACAUCGACAAAGUGACAGUGCUCUGAGGAAUAACCCAAGAACAAGAGGAGGAGAGGGACUCCUCAGGUUAUCUAAGAAGUGAUGUCGAGGGGUUAGAGAGAUGGCUCAGUGGUUAAGAGCAUCGGCUGCUUUUCCAGAGGUCCUGAGUUCAAUUCCCAGCAACCAUAUGGUGGCUCAAACUGUCUGUAAUGGGAUCUGGUGUCCUCUUUUGGCCUGCAGGUAAAACACUGUAUAUAUAAUAAAAAUAAAUUGUAUACAUAAUAAAAAUAAAUCUUGAAAAAAAAAGUGACGUCAAGGCUUGUCCUCAUGUGUGAGGAAGUUUAUAGCAGUGCCUUCAAGAAUCUUGAGAAGGUCCUUCAAGGAGACUGGUGUAUGGGGAAGGCAGAGGGGGACUGUCACAGAGACUACGGCUAUGUCUUACAGGAAAGGGAUGAG